RNAcentral lists this unclassified non-coding RNA (913 nucleotides) under Milium effusum. Its description in RNAcentral is "sequence contains ITS1, 5.8S rRNA gene, ITS2". The stretch from base 1 to 287 matches the Rfam family "Eukaryotic small subunit ribosomal RNA", at positions 1549 to 1831 of the family's 1831-position model. The record is from RNAcentral. Lineage: Eukaryota; Viridiplantae; Streptophyta; Magnoliopsida; Poales; Poaceae.
AUCUUGGGAAAUUUCAUCGUGAUGGGGAUAGAUCAUUGCAAUUGUUGGUCUUCAACGAGGAAUGCCUAGUAAGCGCGAGUCAUCAGCUCGCGUUGACUACGUCCCUGCCCUUUGUACACACCGCCCGUCGCUCCUACCGAUUGAAUGGUCCGGUGAAGUGUUCGGAUCGCGGCGACUGGGGCGGUUCGCCGCCCCCGACGUCGCGAGAAGUCCAUUGAACCUUAUCAUUUAGAGGAAGGAGAAGUCGUAACAAGGUUUCCGUAGGUGAACCUGCGGAAGGAUCAUUGUCGUGACCCUGACCAAAACUGACCGUGAACGUGUCACCUACCUGGCUGGUAACGGCUCUGUCCGUUGCUUGGCCAAAAUCCUCAACAACCUCCACUCCUUGGAGUGGGGGCUUGGGGUAAAAGAACCCACGGCGCCGAAGGCGUCAAGGAACACUGUGCCUAACAUGGGGAUGCGGUUGGCUUGCUAGCUGCCCCUUGUGUUGCAAUGCUAUUUAAUCCACACGACUCUCGGCAACGGAUAUCUCGGCUCUCGCAUCGAUGAAGAACGUAGCGAAAUGCGAUACCUGGUGUGAAUUGCAGAAUCCCGCGAACCAUCGAGUCUUUGAACGCAAGUUGCGCCCGAGGCCAUUUGGUUGAGGGCACGCCUGCCUGGGUGUCACGCCAAACACGCUCCCACCCCUCAUCGGGUAGUUGGAUGCGGCAUGUGGCCCCCCGUCUCGCAAGCGGCGGUGGACUGAAGAUUCGGCUGCCGGUGUAUCGUGUCGGACACAGCGCAUGGUGGGUGACCUCGCUUUACUAAUCGCAGUGCAUCCGACCCGUAGCCGAUGUGAUGGCCUUAAGGACCCUAUAAACGGAGCGCAUGACGCUUCGACCGCGACCCCAGGUCAGGCGGGACUACCCGCUGA